UCAUACCGCGUGUGUGAAGAAGCCUGAGGUUGUAAAGCACUUUCAAUAGGAAGGAAUACCUAUCGGUUAAUACCCGGUAGACUGACAUUACCUAUACAAGAAGCACCGGCUAACUCCGUGCCAGCAGCCGCGGUAAUACGGAGGGUGCAAGCGUUAAUCGGAAUUACUGGGCGUAAAGCGUGCGUAGGCGGUUUGUUAAGUUAGAUGUGAAAGCCCUGGGCUCAACCUGGGAACGGCAUUUAAAACUGGCAGACUAGAGUUUAAUAGAGGGGAGUGGAAUUUCAGGUGUAGCGGUGAAAUGCGUAGAGAUCUGAAGGAACACCAGUGGCGAAGGCGACUCCCUGGAUUAAAACUGACGCUGAGGUACGAAAGCGUGGGUAGCAAACAGGAUUAGAUACCCUGGUAGUCCACGCCGUAAACGAUGUCAACUAGCCGUUGGUUCUAUUCGUAGGAUUAGUGGCGCAGCUAACGCAUUAAGUUGACCGCCUGGGGAGUACGGCCGCAAGGUUAAAACUCAAAUGAAUUGACGGGGGCCCGCACAAGCGGUGGAGCAUGUGGUUUAAUUCGAUGCAACGCGAAGAACCUUANCUACCCUUGACAUCCAGAGAAUCUGUGAGAGAUCGUAGAGUGGCUUCGGGAACUCUGAGACAGGU
This 653-nucleotide ribosomal RNA is filed under the name uncultured bacterium. Its description in RNAcentral is "bacterial SSU rRNA". It matches the Rfam family "Bacterial small subunit ribosomal RNA", at positions 392 to 1039 of the family's 1533-position model. The record is from RNAcentral.